AUGGAAAAAGUGAUGAGGUUGGCUAUAAAAAAGAGUGUGGUGAUUUUCACAAAGAGCUCUUGUUGCAUGUGCGACGCAGUGAACAUCUUGUUUCAAGAAAUUGGAGUGUUCUCUGGGAUUCAUGAAAUUGACAAAGGUCCUGAAGGCAAAGAAAUGGAGAAAGCUUUAAAAAAGUUGGGUUGUAAUGCACCUGUCCUUGCAGUAUUUGUCGGAGGAAAGCUUAUGGGGUCUAUCAAUGAAGUAAUGUGA
Molecule: non-coding RNA, 249 nt
Organism: Vicia faba (fava bean)
Lineage: Eukaryota; Viridiplantae; Streptophyta; Magnoliopsida; Fabales; Fabaceae
Source: the annotation of a GenBank genome assembly